UGAAUGGAAAAUCUGAAGAUAGACCAUUACCAAACUCUGCCUCCUUGGAUUCCAGUGAUUCUAAAGUUGUAGAAGCAGAGAAACCCGAGCCAGAGAUAGCUAUUGUGGAAGUUGAAUAUAUUGAAUCUGAAAACUUGGAUAAUGUAGACGAUGCUGAUGCAGUUCUGAAGGUAUGUGCUUCUGUCUUGUGAUUACAUCAAUUCCCAUUAGUAUCAUAACUGUGAUGAAUUUGUUGUAUCUGUCUAUUUUAGAGAUUUGGAACUACAUUGUUUACGCCAUUAAGAAUCUGUUUGGUCUUAUUGUUUCAGUCUGUUUUAGCUGGACUAGAGUCCAAGGACUGGAUUUCACUCUGUGAUGCUCUUAAUAACGUUCGCCGACUUUCGAUAUUCCACAAGGAAGAAAUGAUGCAUAUGCUGUAAGCUUUGUUCUCUAUGCUGAUGUUUCUAAAUAAUUGUCUCUUAAAGUAGAUUGGAAAAUGCAAGUCUCACCAUAUCCCAUUAACAGUGAAAAAGUGAUACCACUUGUCGUGAAAUCACUGAAAAAUCCAAGAAGUGCGGUGUGUAAAACGGCAUGCAUGACAUCUGCAGAUAUCUUCAGUGCAUAUAAUAAUCAUAUAACAGAUCUGUUGGAGCCUCUGGUAACUUUUCUAUCUUUGCUAUAUUCUUUCACUGUUUACUGCGAACUUUACUUGUUCUUACAGCUUUUCAUACACUUUAUGCUUUCAGCUUACUCAACUACUCCUCAAGUCUUCCCAAGACAAACGGUUUGUUUGCGAGGCAGCAGAGAAAGCUUUAACAGCAAUGACCAAAUAUGUUUCCCCAACCUUGCUGUUACCAAAGCUGCAACCUUGUCUCAAAAACAGGAAUCCUCGGAUCCGUGCCAAAGCAUCAUUAUGCUUUUCUCGAAGUGUUCCUCGACUGGUAAUACAAGUUCAACUUCAUAUAUAUCUCUCACAAAGGCAUCGCAUGUCAUGUAAAAAUUUCAACAAUACCUUGCGUUAUAAUACAUAUUCCAGGGCGUUGAAGGGAUUAAAGAAUAUGGAAUCGACAAAUUAGUUCAAGCAGCCGCAUCUCAGCUUAGCGAUCAGCUCCCUGAAUCCCGUGAGGCUGCACGGACUGUCCUACUAGAACUUCAGAGCGUAUAUGAAAAAGCUCAUCCUCUCAUCAACCCUGAGACAUCAUCACCAGAAGAACAGCAAAUCCCGGAGGUAGAGCCAAUUACUUGGGAAACUUUCUGCAAGUCAAAACUGUCGGCUCUUAGCGCACAAGCCGUGCUUCGUGUCACCAAUGUUGUCACUGUUACUGCUCGGGAGGGUUUGGUUACUACAGGUUCAUCAUCUUCAUCCCAGUUAUAAACAUUUUCUACUACAAAUUUUUUAAAAACCGUUUGCUACGAGUCAUACGGUUUACAUGGUAUUCUCCGGCAUGGCGGCAUGAUCUACCAAAUUGGCAAAUUAUGGACCGAUAAAAAGAGUGAACGUUCGUGUAUGAAAAAUCUUGGCUUCUUUCUGGGUUAUUUUCUUUUUGUGGAUUCUCAUCUGUCUUCACUACCAGUACUUGUUUCUUUUUCUUAUGUGUAUAUAUUCUAUACCAAGAUUUGGUAAGAUAGUCAUGAGUCUUUUGGUUAUAUGCAAAAUUGGUCGGAUUCUUUGAAGAUUCAGUGAUCAUUAAAUAGAUAGCCAGUCUAUGCUUCUUCCUCGUUGAAGUUUCUCUAGAUUAAGCUUUGACUCAUAGUAAAAGAUUCUUUAAUUUAGUCGAUUUUUUUUAGAAUCAGAAUCACGUCCGAGGCUUGGCUUAUUGGUCAGAUAUUGAACCCAAAACUGAAAGUGAUUUUUAUUAGAUUAAGAAUUAUAGAAAAGUAUCUGAGUUCUGUCUGAACUAAUACAUCAUAGUCUAGAUAAAUAAUCUUCACCUCUACCAUCGAAGACAAGUGGGAUAAAACUCUCGCCUAAAAACAAGCAAUGCCAUAAGGCCCAUAACCCUUAUUUUGAUUAAUCUGUGAGGUGAAACAAUAGCAGCAACUACAUAUGUAUCAUUUAGCUCUGUGAGAGCUCGCGGCUUCGUUUAGCUGCAGCAACAACUGCAUUCAUAAGUGUUGCCCGGAAAGAGCCUUUCUCUAGUUCAUGAACUCCGGCUAUUGUAGUGCCGCCAGGUGAGGUAACAUCAUCUUUCAACACACCUGGAUGCUUCCCAGUUUUGCUAACCAUCGUUGCAGCUCCAAGAACCUGUAAUAGGAAACAAAAAACCUCAAAGCUUAGGGUUCUCUUUCUAGUUUCGGUAUUCAAUACCAUAAUAAAGCAGAUUAAAGAAGCGAUGUAGAUGUUCACUGACGGUCUGUGAAGCUAAACUCAAUGCAAGCUCUCGGGGUAAACCAGCAGCUACUCCUCCAUCGGCUAAAGCUUCAAUUGCUAAAAAUAUGUAUGCUGGUCCACUUCCACUGUAAAAAGUUUGAAAUUUUCUUGAUUAGUGACUUGAACAACUCAAGCAUUUCAGCAGCUACAGUGUUUUCCUGUACCUGAGACCAGUGACAGCAUCAAACAUUUUCUCAUCAGCUUUCAAUAUCUUCCCCACCGCGCCAAACAACAUAGCAACAAUUGCUCCAUCCUCUUCCGUUGCUCCUGUGCCAAGGCUCAUAACUAUAUACACACAACAUAAUUGGCAAAUGUAAGCAUUUGACAGCUUCAGAGAGAAACAGAAAUCACAAACAAAAUUCAGAAAUAUCACAAAUGCGAACACUCUGAUAAACUAUACCUGAAGCUGCCUCACCAACAGCGGCAGGUGUAUUAGGCAUCACCCUUAUGAAUCGAUCUUGACCAGACCAUUCCUAAAAACAAAAAGGAGAGACCUUUAUGUUUUUUAACCAAAUUGAGCUCUAGAAACUCACAAUGCAACACCAUGGAUAGUGACAACUUAAAUGGCAAAUGUAUAGGAGUAUAAAUGAUGCAAAACCUGUAAAUCAUUCAACUUGAUUCCAGCUGCAACAGAAACCAGAAUCUUAUUCUUUGAAAGCUUCGACUUUAAUUCUGUGACAGCCUUCUUAACUACAUCAUAUGAAAGGUACAACUUUAAGUCAACACAAAAUUACAUUGAUGAAUCAAUCAUAUAAUCAAUGGAUAGGUAAGAAAUAUAUAUACCAACUUGAGGUUUCACAGAGAAUAUGACAACAUCGCUUUCUUUAACAACCUGUCAUUUUUUUGAAGAUCGUCAAUCUCAAUUUAGUUCAUCACCACAACAACAACAACAAGACAUUGAAAAAGAACUUACUUCUUCGCUAGUGGAGAAGACAUUGACGCCAAAGGAUUCGAAGACAUCACGGCGAUUGAGAUUUGAGUGAACGGCGGUGCAUAUACGAUUAGGAGGAAGCACACCGGAAGCAACCACACCUCUAGCUAUACUCUCCGCCAUUUUACCAGCUCCGAUGAAUCCUACCUUGAAACUCUCCGCCGGAAUCGGAAGAAUCUCCAUCGGGAAAAUUUAACGGGCCGGCUGGCGAGAUACUUCGGACGGGUGAGCUGACGAGCUGCUUGAGACGGGCGAGCUGAUGAGCUACUUGAGACGGACCGGCUGACGAGAUGCUUCAGACGGGUGAUCUGACGAGCUGCUUGAGACGGGCCGGCUGGCGAGAUACUUCAGACGGGUGAGCUGACGAGCUGCUCUUUGUCUCUAAGUGUCCUCGCGGCCUCCCCCUUUGACAAGACAUGCUAUUCCGUAUUUAUAGCCUUCUGCGCGUGUAGGGCAUUCAUCGAGGGAUUUGACGAAACUACCCUUCGCCUUAAUACUCCUUGGUUUGGAACUUAUUUUGGGCUUUUGACUUGGGUUUGGGCAUUGGGCCAAGUAGGCCCAAUCCGACCCCUAACAGUUGCCCCCCAAUCCUGAUGCAUCGUUGAUGACGUGGAUCAGGAUUUCAGGUGCACGAAACUCAAUCGAAGGAAGUGAAAAGUCGCGCAUGGGGAAGACGCAAUGUUUGGUUUGUCUUUCAUGAUUCUCAAGGUUCGAGGAUCGAAACGUCGCGUGGCUAUCAAAGUAUAGGCUGCUAUUACGGCAAUGUGCUGUCUCGGUGAUAGUCAAGCGAGACGACAAGGAAGGUUAAAAGGGUCGCCUCGGCUGUUGCGUGACCGUCGCAUUUCUGAAGAGCCUCCUGGAUCAAAGUGGUCGUCUGGUGUUCGAGUUGGGAUGUUCGAGUCAUUCGAAAGUGGUUCUUUGAGGGGGAGAGGGAAGAGACGAGGGUCGUUAAUCGUGAUGAACAACGAGCUAGCGUUCCGAACUCGUCCGAUGCGUUUUGCGUGCCAAUGAUCAUUAUUGGAGUUAUCGUUUCGUUUGAAGGAGGCGUUCCUUUUGCUUUGAACUCUGGUGAUGUUAAGCAAAGCACGUGUUGUGAGCUGGCGAGCUGGCAAUGUGAAGUCAGGGAUGUUAAGCAAAGCACGUGUUGUGAGCUGGCGAGCUGGCAAUGUGAAGUCAGGGAUGUUAAGCAAAGCACGUGUGUUGUGAGCUGGCGAGCUGGCAAUGCAAAUGGACGUUAACGGCGAUCGUUAUUAACGUGGUUAACGUUUACUUUCUUUACCUUUUUGUAUAAGAGCAACAUGUUAUGCUCAUGCUUUCAUUAUCGAAUAAUCUGGUUGUAAUCUCUCUCUAGAGACUUCUAGAUUUCCCUCAUCGUUUUACCGGAGCUCUCGUCGAGUCUCUUGUAGGUGAGAAGUUGAUAUCGCGUCUCUUUACGAACGUUGUAUCAAGUGUGUUAAUCGGAGUACUUUGUUUUCAUCUCUCUGUUCUAUUGAUUUCAAACUCUGUCUAUUCAUUUCUGGUUUACGUUAACACUGGUAUCAGAGCCAAGCGUUUCCUCGGAAUCAAUGGCAGAAACUCGUUCGCAGAUGUUUUAUCGGGAGGUUUCAGCUAUUCACGAAACUAUGUAUCCGUCAUUGAAAGUGGUUUGUGGUCACAAAUCUGAUGUGCGUUCCGGCAAAGCGGCGACGACGAAUCAGCAAUUUGGUGUUCAAUCCUCACCGUGCAUCGGAGAAUCAAUGUUGGAUACGAGAGCUUACAACAUUGGAAGAUCCUCACAGCUGAUAUCUACAGCUCCGAUCGUCACUCCUGACACCAGCAAAGAGAGAGUCGGUAUGUCGAACAAAUAUUUUCCAUUGGAAGAGAGAUCUGAUUUUGCGAGACUUGAGCAUCUCAGAUUUAAUGGUGAUAGAAUUACAGAAUGGUUGUUCCAGAUUGAACAAUUUUUCUUAAUUGAUCGUACUCCGGAGGAAUUGAAAGUUGGUUUCGCUUCACUCCAUUUCGAUGACACUGCUGCGACUUUGCACCAAUCAAUUGUACAAUCGAUGUGGUGGAAGCAUGUUAGGCAUGAUUGGUGGAGUUACAAACUGUUGUUGCAAGUGAGAUAUGAUGAGCAUGUUAAUGACUCGAUUGCAAAACUGACACAGUUGCAGGAGACUGAAGGAAUAGAGGAGUAUCAUGCUCGAUUUGAGUUGAUUAGCACUAGAUUGAACUUCGCUGAAGAUUACUUGGUUAGUGUUUACUUGGCAGGUUUGAGAACUGAUACUCAACUGAAUGUUAGGAUGUUUGGACCUCAGACAAUUCAACAAUGUUUAAUGUUGGGAAGAUUAUAUGAGAUGGCUCACCCAAAGAGUGUGCUUAUCAGAAAAGAGAGUGAUGAUUAUCAGAAAGAAGCUCAACAUGUUUCAAGUAAUGCUGCAGGAACUUCUAUGAUUAAUGAUGGUAAUUGCAUGAUAGGUAAUGAUGGAGAUCGAUUCCUUAGUGGUUCAGACUUGGUAGAGAAUGCGGUUGCGACGGUGAAGAAAUAUUUGGUUGAAAUUGAUGAUGCUGUGUCUAGUGAUGAUGAUCAAAAUUCGGAUGCUGGGGACGUAUUUGGAUUCAACAUAGAAGAGUGUGAAACAGAUUCAUGGAUUGAACAUAAGCCGUUGAUUCAAGAUCAAGCCGCGUUUCACUCCAUAGACAUAGAAGGUGUCUCACAACUUCAGAAGGUUCGUUCAAACCUUAAGGAUUUUGAUAAAGUUGAUGCAACAAUGAAUCAAAUGCUGUCAUCAAUUGGAUUUGUUGUUGAUGAAUUACACUCUAGUUGUGGAAGUGCUACCGUCCAUGUCCAGAAGAAGCCUAGUAAGUCUCUCAAAUCCUGGAAGUUCAAAUUUAAAACCAGCUCACAAGACCAAGGGGAUCAUGAAUCACUUCCAAUAGGGUUACAUAUCAGAUUCAAGUCCUGGAAAUUUAAGUUCGUGAAUAGAAAUUUACAAAUGAUGAGAGAACAUGGAUAUACAACACACUUUCAGCUAAUGUCUGAUAAGAGAGAACAUCAAGAGAUGUUCAUUGUGGCCAGGAUUGUUGAUGUGAGAUGUUUGCUUAGCAUGAUACUUGGGAUAACAGAGAGUGAUGCAGGUCAUGGAGAACAAUUUGUGUAUGAUCGGAUUACAAUGGUAAAGAGGCUGCUGUUGCAAACCAGUUUAGUCAUUCAAGAAGUGAUGAGAAACAAAAAGAUCAAGUUUACCAAACGGUGGUGGUUCAAGUAUAAAUUUGGGGAAGAGGGUUUCACGAGACUGAAUUCUUUCAAUUUGCGUAUGACUUAUCAUUUUGCGGUUUGGCAUUGUUGGAAGAGCAAGACCAUGGUGCAUGUUGAAAUGAGUGGUGAUCACUGGUCUUGGAUGGUCUUAGUCAUGAAAUCUACAACAUCUAGCUUUUUGUCACUUCUCUAUGAUCGAAGAAUGGGAGAUCCAAGCAGACAUGAAACGGGUCGGGAGAUUGUGUCACUUCAGGGUCAAAUUCACACUGGUUCUCCUAUGAUUCAGUGCAUAAAGAUGAGCUUCAGCAUUCUCCUUCUUCAGGGUCUGUUUCAGAGUUUGACAAUGAAGAUGCUCACAUAUAUGCACUUGUUUGGUAGCAAAAGUUGUGUUUCAACUUUGGGAGUGAGGAAAUUAGGCAAAGAUUGGUGGUUUAAAUACAAGACAGAUGCAAGGGCUACAGAUUUACUGACAAAUCCGUAGAAAGAGUAACUACGAAUUAGACAACAGAGGAUGAUGAAGUUGUCACAAGCUUGGCGAUUCAAGGUUUAGGACUUGGUAAAAGGAAAGCUAUGAUUCAUGUUGAUUUAUGUGGAAGAGGCUACAUGGAGUUACUCUAUAAACUGGCAAAGAUGUUUCCAUGAACCUUGAGGUCAAGGUUCUCUGAAGAGGGGAGAUUUGUUAUAGGAAAACUGAAGUCAAGCUAUAGCGUUCAGGGGUCAAGCUGGCGAGCUGGAAAUAUGAAGUCAGGGAUGUUAAGCAAAGCACGUGUUGUGAGAUCAAAGGUAUAGCUUGACUUUGUAGCGGAACCUCCAACUCCACCUCUUUCCCCUUUCCGUCACCCUCCUGCGACCUUGUAGUCACCAUGUUUUCCGAGGAACUACAGAGCUCUGAUACCUUUGAUACAGAGAACUUUCAGGCGACCUCGAUCCCAUUAUCGCUAAAGGUUGUGAUUCUUCAUUGAGUAUCUUGGAAUUUAAGAAUUCAAAAAAAUAUGACCCUCUCAUAUAAAAUGGUGUGUGUGGGUCUGUUGUGUAAUGAAAACAUCUACGUUUCAUCUUCCUUUUGUUAAACUUUGUUUUGUAUUCAAAUGAUUUGCAGACGGUUUAAGCUCUGUUUUAAGCUAUUAUCUCGGCCUACUUGCAUUUCUUCACUUUCUCAGUGAAAGAAUGAUUAAUUUUUUUCAUUAGAGUGCACAAUUGUUAAUUAAUAUUUUCUUGUUAUAGAAGCAAAUUACAAAAAAGCUAUCUGACAGAUUCCAAUGUGAUCAGUUCAGUCCAAGCUGUGCUAGUGAAGUCAUAUUCUUGAUUCAAGUAAGAGUUGUGGCUCGAAAACCAACCAUUUGCAGAUAAGCUUUCUCCGAGUGAGUGAGUUGAAUGAUCCAGUUACCCGCCCCCAAGUUAUCAAUCUUCCAUGAAUCUCUGUUUGCAUCUCCUUCUAGUCAUCUGAGCCCAUCUCGCAAAGAUCUCUGCUGCAGCAAACUUACCUGAGAACUUAGCUCUCUGUGCCAAUUCCUCAAAUAUCUCCGGUUGUCCCCCUCUGUGGAAAUCAGCUGCAAACUUGUUAUAAUCAAUCAAAGGGGUUUUCAUUCCUUUGUCAAGCAUCUCCUCCAAGUAUCUGCAUGCCUCUCUCGACUUCCCUUCACUUAUAAGCCCUCUGAUCAAAACCGUGUAGGAGUUAUCGUCAGGACAAAUCCCUUUCUUGAUCAUCUCGUCCCAAACUGCUCUCCCCAUCUCAUAGUUUCUCGCCACGAAGUAAGAUUUCAUUAUCAUGUUGAACGUGUGUAUCGAUGGCUCAAUUUCGUUCUGGAUCAUCUUGUUGUAGAUCCUUGUGCCAUGUUCCGGCAUUUUCUGGUUCGCCAUCAGUUUGAUCAACGCAUUAUACGUUUUGCCAUCCGGAGGGUGUCCCUUUUCUUGCAUCUCCUUGAGCAGUUCGUAAACAGUAUCCAGCUUCUUCUGAGUCCCAAACCCCGUGAUCAGACACGUGUAAACCGCAGCAUCAGGUUGCAACCCGGAAUCAACCAUGUCAUCAAAGUACUCAAUGGCAGUUUCCAUGCUCGACUGUUUGCAGAAGUCCCGGAUCAUGAUGGUAUAGCUACGGACAUUAGGGCAAGGUCCCUUGGAUUUCAUAACAUGGAACAAUUUGAUCGCAUCUGAUUUUUUCAUACUCCUCAACAACCCUUCAAGCAUUACGUUGUGAGCUACAAUGUCAGGUUUCAAUCCGUGAUCAAUCAUAUCAUUCCAGAUUCUAGCUGCUUCUAUCAAGUUCCUCACCCUGCACCAACCAUUGAGUAGAACAGUGUAAGUCAUCAUAUUAGGUGUAAACCUCUCCUUCAGCUUAUCAAACAGAACCUGAGCUUCUUUUCCAAGCUUAGCCCUGCCAAGACUAUCAAGCAAGCAAUUAAUGGUUUCAACACCAAUCUUAAACUUGUACUUCUUCAUCAACUCAAAGAUACCAACAGCUUUCUUCCUCUCUUUCGCAGCAGCGAAAGCUUUCAUCGCGAUAGUGAAUGUCUCCAUCGUCAAUAGACCUUUCGUACCCAUCUCUUCGAGUACCGAAACCAUCGUCUCGAACUGUCUAGUCUUUGCUAAAAUACUCAUCAUGGAGUUAUAUGUUCUUGAGUCAUGAGCAAAUCCUUGUCUCUCUGCAGCCCAACAGAAGAACCUAAAUGCAGGCUUCCUAGCAUGUCGAAAACGUUCUAAAACCUCAACGAUGAGAUCAUGUGAUAAAUCUAGUUUCAUUUCAUCAAGAACAGCUUCCAUAUUUCUAUCUAACGCAAACAAUUCAUCAAUCACUUUGCAGACUCUCUCUACUUCUUCCGGAUUAGUACUUGAUUCAACACAACUGACCCCAGUUUCUUCAUCAUUAUCGCAUUCAGAUUCAACUUCUUCAUCACAUCCAUCACUAACAUUAGAACUACCACUAGAGAAACCUCUACACCCAAGACUCGCAUCAAGCAGUUGUACAGAGUGUGGCAAUGGAAUUUGACGGUAAGGAUGAUAAGUAGAAGAAUGAAUCAUACGAGAGAAGAGAGCACCGGAAAAUCGUACUUCCUCUUCUCCUCUCCCGCCGAUUACGCGGCUUUGACUGGAAAUGAAUUCAUCGGCAUCGAAUGAAGAAGAGCAAAUGAGGAAUCUUCUUAAUGAAGUCUGAGUGGAGCUUCUUCUCCUAGAGAGAUAGAGCCAUGGAGCAGCAGCCAUGGAAGCUCGACGGCGAUUAGCAAUGGCGAAGUCGGUGAAAAGCCACUGAUUUACGGCGGAGAGCUCUUCACGUAUUUGGGCCUUUGUUUGAUUAGAAGCUUUGAGUGAUAAUAAUUUUGACCCAUUAAAGGCCCAUUGAUCUGGUCACAUAUAACCAUUGGGUCCACCAGGAGCAUUAAAGCUCAAACGCAUAUAAACGAGCUGGCGAGCUGGCAAUAUGAAGUCGGAUGUUAGGCAAAGUACUUGUGAGCUGGCGAGCUGGGGAGCUGGCAAUGCAAAUGGACGUUAACGGCGAUCGUUAUUAACGUGGUUAACGUUUACUUUCUUUACCUUUUUGUAUAAGAGCAACAUGUUAUGCUCAUGCUUUCAUCAUCGAAUAAUCUGUAAUCUUCAGAAUUCUCUAGAACCUUUGUAAGUGCUAGAUUUCUCUCACAUCGAGAGCUAGCUGAAUCAUUUGGUGUUUUAUGAACAUCGAUUGAUUGUUUGGUUUCGAAUGAUAAUUGGAGAUUUGGAUUGUUCUUGUGAAUCGCAGGUUUCCCUGUAACACACUCGUCUGGAUGAGGUCGAACAAACGAUUAGGGCAUUGGACAUUCGUUCGGAGGAUUGGGAGAAAGCUGGUCUGCAACUAGUGUGGCCCAUUACUUCCAUUCUUCAUGAGAUUACCCUCUUUUAAAUGGAAGUUUUCCCUUCACACGACCUCAGGUUCCGCUUAUGGCGAUCUCGAUUGUCGACCUAAAUCUUCUGGCGAGCUCAUGACUUAGUUCAAUCGAAUUCUCGAUUUUAUUCACGUUAUCCUCGGGAAAUCAUUUUCCGCCGCUUGCAAGAAGAAUCAAAGGUAGCUCUCGCUCUCUCCUCUGCGAAUUAUUUUGUACUCUCGAUUCUUUAUCGAUUUUUCCGGCAAUGGGUAAGGUUGUUCUUGUCUCUCCGUCCUCUUCUUCCUCCGAGAGCGAAGCGUCAUUAGUUCGCCGAAACUCUCGGUUAACCGGGAAUCCAAGUGACGAAGCUCAGUCUAGUCGAUCUAACCGGAUCGAGAUCCCGACGUUGCUUGAUGAGCCCGAUCGGGAAGGUUCCGGUGGACAUCUCGCUGCUCCUGAAGAUCCGGCGGAUUUCUUGGCUCAGUUCGACCCGCUCAUCGACCUGGAGGAUGCUUAUAACACGCAGCCACAGUAUACAGAGGCCGAAGUUAAUGCGAAUUACUUCAUGAGGAUCAUGUCGAAUUUGACGUCGACUCAGUGGUUAGCUGGAACACCGAGAUCGCCGCGAAAAAGACCCUUUCAACAACUGAGUCAGUCGCGGAAGUAUUUGCCUUGUGUGGCUCCGGAGAUCGCCCGCUCACUUACAUGAUUCCCGGAGAAAAUGAGCGUCCGUGGAAUCCCCCUCGAGGGUACGUCUGCAUGUAUGAAGCCUACUUCAGACAAUGUCACCUCUGGUUUCCCAUUCCGUCUCUGAUCAUCUCCUUUCUGAAUCGUCGUCGUAUGGCGUUCUCCCAGCUUACUCCGGCGGCGAUCUGUAGUUUUGUUGCCGCUCUGACCUUCGGUGCUGAAGAAGGUUACCUGGUAAACGUCCGUUGUUUCGAAGAAAUGACGACGUUGAAAGCUAUAAGGUCGCCCGGCUAUUGGCUGGUGAACAACCGCCCAAAGCAUAACUUUCUUCCCGGGGAGGAAAAGGAUGUGGACGGAGUUUCCUGGUAGAUUUCUUUUAAAUAGAUAGGGUAAAGAUAUGUCGAUCCCAACUAGAUUCUCAUAGCUUUUUCUUUUGUUGCAGAUCGAUACAGGCCUAGUCCGGAUUUUCAUUGCUGAUGGGGACUUCAUUCCCAGGACGCCUUCUCUAUUCUACCUUGGGCCGGCUGCUACUGAUGCUGAUACCACGGAGUGUCAGAACUUCGUCAACCAAGGAUUGCUUUGGUUUGUGUUUUCGAUAUCGGGAUGUUUUUUAAGUAUUUCGUUGCUUGGAUUUCUCAGGUCGGAUUUCUGCAUCAGGAUCAAUGCCGCGAGCUGCAGUACUUUCGAACCAAGAAACGAAGAGUGGACUUUUGUCUCGAGGAGCUCGAAACUCUGAUUGCUAAGCUGAAGAAGAAAAGAAGAAGGGUCGUCACUCGUCUGGAUGAGGUCGAACAAACGAUUAGGGCAUUGGACAUUCGUUCGGAGGAUUGGGAGAAAGCUGGUCUGCAACUAGUGUGGCCCAUGCAAGAUCGCCUUCUUCUGGAUAAUCGCAGUUUCUGACAGGGCGAUCUAACGUUCGAAUAAACGCCCUUGUGAUAGCUGGCGACCUUGUUUAACUCUAAUUUAUUCUGGAAUAAAUGUCUUUGUAAUAGCUCCCGAUCUCGUUUGGUCGUUGAUUAAUACAAUGCGAUUUUAUUAAAUUGGCUUAUUUCCUCCGCGACCACUGAGGUCGGCUUUUGAGUUCUUUUCGAACGCAAUUUUUUCUAAUUGGAUUAGAUGUUAGGUGCGAGACUGAGCCCGGCUUUUGAGAGAAUAUUCAGCGUGUGCUGGACGCGAGACGUCUCUCGGCUUAUGUCCAGCAGGCUUAUGUAUGAUUUAAAGAGGGAGUUCUGGGCUCUGUUUCCAAAAUAAGUGAGGCGGGCUCAGCAUAUUAUUUGGGGGGCGAGAUGCUGGGCUCGGCUUACUCCCCGUAGAGCAUCUGUUCGGCAGAUCGCGAAACGGUUCGGCUUAUGUUUCUGUCCGAACCAGAGCUUAUGUUUCUGGACGCAAAGGCGAGCUCGAGUGUGGGAAGAAAAGGCGAACUCGAGUGUGGGAAGCAAAGGCGAACUCGAGUGUGGGAAGCAUAGGCGAGCUCGAGUGUGGGAAGCAAAGGCGAUCUCGAGUGUGGGAAGCAAAGGCGAUCUCGAGUGUGGGAAGCAAGGAACAAGUAUGAAAGUGGCUAAGAGUAAGAAGUGAAGAAGUGUUGUGAAACCUCUAAUUGUUCUAGAGGGUUUCACUUUCCUUUUAUUGUUGCGUUGUCGUUUUGAUUAAACUCGAGUGUAUUUAAUGGAGCCCAACCUUUAGGGUUUUCCUUAUCUUAUGAAAAAUCACAUUAAUCAUCUUAACCUAAGUUUCUUCUGCCUCUCAUCUCUUCUCUUCUCACCUAACUCUAUUUCUGUUCGUUGUUAGGCUUCGUGCUUAACAUUUGGUGCUUUCAUUGAGAGGAAAAAGAAACGAUGGCUCCUCAAACCAGCGGCGCCGUCGCAGACCAAACCUCAACCUCAGAACUCGAGUCACAAACCCCAGAUCUGUACCUCCAAACGACCGCUCUUGAGAUUCGAAUGGAGAAGAUAGACAAGGACAUGGAAUGGUUUAAGGCAGCUAUGGGAAACCUCUUGCGUGGCCAGGUUUUCGGUGAAGACCGUGAACGGACUCCGGCUUGCUUUGCAAGUCCGAUUUCAGUUUCAGGUGGCAUACAACAAACUCCUGGUACACCUGAUACUGUUGCAGACAAGAACCCUCGUCCAGGGUCUCUUCCGUUGGCCAAUCCGGAGCCUAACCAAAGACCUGCUGAAGGGUUACUACCCACGCCACCAGCGCAGCAACGCUUGGAGUUCGUGGGUCUGACUACUGAGACACAGUUCAAACCCAUAGAUCUCCCGGAAUAUGAAGGUACGAAUCCUGAUGAAACAUAGAGUCCCAGAAACACAGAAACUUGAGCAAGCUAUCACUGCUUUGACUGGUACUGCCAUUAACUGGUGGCAAAUAGCUCAGUAUCCUGAAAAGAUCUCAACUUGGAAGGAUUUUCGUGACAAGUUCAAGGUCCGUUUCAAACCAGCCCGAGGAGCGGCCACCAUUGAUCAACUGUUCACAAUUUUCCAGAGAGGAAGUGUUGAAGAGUACCGUAAUCGAUUUGAAGAGAUAGCAGUGGAGCUUCCUCAUGUGACAGACGAUGUGCUUGAGUCAGCUUUUCUGAAUGGGUUGAAUGGGACCCUUUUUUUUUUUUUUUUUUUUUUUUGGUAAGAAUAAUGACGAAUUGAAUUACGAUGAAAACGAAAAUUUUACUUAUCUCAGCGCAAGAGUUUGUGGUACGAUCGAGUUUUAAGGGUCGAGUUCGUUGAUACAAUUAUCGAAAAGACGAUGCUCGAUGUCUGCCCUAGUUCUUGUCAGUUCGUUCGUCCGACGUGACGUUGUGCUAAGCGGCAUCGUUUUUUUCGUUUGUGGGAUGGCGUUGGGACGAGAUCUCCGAUGUUUUGAGUGACGACGUGAAUUUCGCUGUUGUGGAGAGUUUGGCUUUUCUUCAGUUCGCCUAGCUCCAGCAGGUGCUGUUACUUUUAGUUUGCAUGAUGGCGCGAAUGGCGUUUGGUUGGUUGCGUCGUUGUGUACGUCCAGAGCCGUCUGGUUCUUUCGUCUAGCUUCUCGUAGCAUGCCGACAUGAUGUGUCUUGUUAGUCGUUUUGGUGUGAUCAUUGCUUUGCGGUAUUCGCGAAACAUUGGCGUCAGUGUCGGAUCGUCGAUAUCCCUUAUGGCGCGUCCGACCUCAUGGACCCUGGAGAUGGCUCAAUUGAUUUGGGAGUGAAGGUCUUGCACUUGGUAUCUCGUUUAUAGCGGUCUGAGGAAUUGCCGAGCUGAGUUGGUUUACGACAACCUGAAUUUCUUCGCGUAGGUCGGGUAUGCGAAUAACGACUCAUGUGCAUGCGGCUGAUUUUAUCUUGUAUGUGCUCUUGGGCGGCGGUUAAUAAUCGCGUUGCGCUGCUUUAAAUGAUCGAUGAUGGUGUUGAGUAGUUCUUCGCCGCGUUGGUUGCUUUUAGCCGUAUCGUCCAGGCGAUGAAAUCGGCUAGGUGAAGUUUCUCCUUGGUCUUUUUGCAACGCUAGGUAUUCAGGCGUGGGCGAUAACGAGGUCGGUACAAUAGAUGACGCCGAGUAUUAUUUUUCCUUUAUUUGAAUCGUCUUCCCGUGCGCUGACGUUAUCGUCCGAGCUGCCGAGCUGGUAGUGUCAUCGUCGAGGUUUUCUAAGUGACGUUCGCCUGAUGACUUCUCCUCUUGGUCUUGGUUAGGCGCGAGUGAUAACGAGGUCGGUAUGUUUAAUGAGGUUAUGGGAUGUUCCUCUUUGAUCGGCGGCACUUCCUCGUUGGUCAGUGUUAUUGUCCUGACUGCCGGGCUGGAAGUGUCAUCGCCUAGGAUGAUGGGGUCGAUAGUUCCUUGAAGUCCUUUUCUUGUCGGAGAACAUGCUGCGAUAUCGAAUGAAGAGGUCGAGUGACUGGCUCUCCCGGGGAUCGACGUUGUCGUUUUACUUCCAGAGCCUGACGAGUCGGUAUCGAAUGCUCCAUGUAGUCUGUUUGUUGUCACUUUGCUUCGUCGCGGGGUCGUGUUAACGUAAACCAGAAAUGAAUAAACAGAGUUUGAAAUCAAUAGAACAGAGAGAUGAAAACAAAGUACUCCGAUUAACACACUUGAUACAACGUUCGUUAAGAGACGCGAUAUCAACUUCUCACCUACAAGAGACUCGACGAGAGCUCCGGUAAAACGAUGAGGGAAAUCUAGAAGUCUCUAGAGAGAGAUGACAACCAGAUUAUUCGAUAAUGAAAGCAUGAGCAUAACAUGUUGCUCUUAUACAAAAAGGUAAAGAAAGUAAACGUUAACCACGUUAAUAACGAUCGCCGUUAACGUCCAUUUGCAUUGCCAGCUCGCCAGCUCAAAACACGUGCUUUGCUUAACAUCCCUGAGUUCACAUUGCCAUCUCGCCAGCUCACAACACACACGUGCUUUGCUUAACAUCCCUGGCCAAACAACUUAGCAACAAUUGCUCCAUCCUCUUCCGUUGCUCCUGUGCCAAGGCUCAUAACUAUAUACACACAACAUAAUUGGCAAAUGUAAGCAUUUGACAGCUUCAGAGAGAAACAGAAAUCACAAACAACAUAAUUGGCAAAUGUAAGCAUUUGACAACACGUGCUUUGCUUAACAUCCCUGACUUCACAUUUCCAGCUCGCCAGCUCACAACACGUGCUUUGCUUAACAUCCCUGACUUCACAUUGCCAGCUCGCCAGCUCACAACACACGUGCUUUGCUUAACAUCCCUGACUUCACAUGUGUGAGCUUGACCUUCUAGAACGCUAUAUCAGGUCGUAGUUUUGAGAGAUAUCUUCGAGCUAUCCCCCUACCUGGCGCGCCAACUGUUGAUGCACGAAUCACACAAGUACGAAAAUGGGAUCUCUAGGGAAGGAAGAAAAAUCUUUCUAUUAAUACGAGCCCGCGACUUAGGCGAAUUGGACGGAUUACAAAGGAUGAUUUCUUCAACGAGCACAGAUGGAGUAAGAACGAGCUGAUUGUAGAUAAAAGGCGAACUUGAGGCCGGAAGACGAUCUUGAUGUCCGAGGAAGAAUAGAGUUUAUUCGUUUUAUAGCUGAACCUUGUAAAAGGCUGCCUACGUACCCUUAGAAAGGGAUCAAGCCACACGUAGUUCAUAUCGCGAUAAACGAACUAGGCCAUUACUGGAGGAAGGUCGUAUGUCGAGUUAGGCAGUUUUAGGGAUGAUCCGGCGGAUAAGUGACGAGUUGAAUGGCUUCUCGAGACGUGCGAGUAGGUUAGUUACUUUGGGCGGGCAAGUCGGCGAGACACUUCGGACGGACGAGUAAACGAGCUACUCAAGAUAGAUGGGCAAACGAGGUACUUCGGACGGGUGAGCUGACGAGCUGCUUGAGACGGGCGAGAUGAUAAGCUACUUGAGACGGGCCGGCUGGCGAGAUACUUCGGACGGGUGAGCUGACGAGCUGCUUGAGACGGGUGAGCUGAUGAGCUACUUGAGACGGACCGGCUGACGAGAUGCUUCAGACGGGUGAGCUGACGAGCUGCUUUAGACGGGCCGGCUGGCGAGAUACUUCAGACGGGUGAGCUGACGAGCUGCUCUUUGUCUCUAAGUGUCCUCGCGGCCUCCCCCUUUGACAAGACAUGCUAUUCCGUAUUUAUAGCCUUCUGCGCGUGUAGGGCAUUCAUCGAGGGAUUUGACGAAACUACCCUUCGCCUUAAUACUCCUUGGUUUGGAACUUAUUUUGGGCUUUUGACCCCUAACAGGAGGAGCUGUACUGGGAAAGGAAAACACUGAAGAAACGAGGUAACACACCACUUGAAGCCAUGGAGGACGUAGGAACUGUGAGAGAAAGAAAUAGAGAAGAGGAAUUAGGAAAAAAACAUGAAAGCGACAGAGUUUAAGAGACGUUGAGAACAAAGAAGAGAGAUUCUUACCAAGAAGGGAGCUGUUCUGGUCCCAAAGGGUUCUCUUAGGAAGACCAAAGUCAAGAGUUUGAAUUCUUAACAGGAAUAAAGUGAGAGAGUGCAAUGUAAGCAGAACACAAUCAAUGUGUGUUUCUUACAUACGAACCUGUCUUCUCUGUCCUUUCUAUUCGUAUACCAAAUGAGAAAGAAGCAUUGCUUUUUGUCUUUUAUUUUUCUUAGAAAGCCCAAGAGUUUUGGACUAUUGGUAGCUUUGGAGUUAAAGUCACAUGUAAAAACAGAGUCUCAAGCUCAUUUUAUUAAGUAACUCUAAAUUUUCAAUCUUACUAGUUAAUAUUCUCUUGCUUGCAAAUAUCAAUUUGAAUUGAUGACCGAUUAGUAAGUAGCUUCUUGAUUGUUCAACAUAACCAUGUGAAUGUCACUAUUAGGGGAAGCAGUUAAACUAGAGUGAGUGAGCCAAAGACUUGAGAGAGAUGGUGUUGUUUUGUUUCAUCCUUAGUUUAUUCACCAUUUAAUUUCCAAAACAACCCCACAAUUUGUACUAUAGUACACUCAAUGAUAGCAAAGAAUGAGAAGAUGAGUCAAUGACACCAAAAUAUGCUUUCUUUAGACAUUGUGUGGCAAAAACAUUGAAAGCUAUAUCCAGUUCUGUACUCAAUCUCUCUGCACUGUUUUGUCCUAUCACUUUCUUUUAUAUCGAAUUGAGAAAAUAUCUGUUUAAUCCAGAUUAAAUAAAACCGAUGCUAUGCAAUUAGUAAGUUAACUAAUCAUUGAGUUUGUUUUUAAUUAUGAUCAGUGAGGUCGUUAGUUCAGGUUCAUUUAACAGUUUUUUGUUUUAACGAUUCUGUUUAUCUAAAUACUUAUGGGCAAAAGAAUGUGAUUAAGACUCUCUGUCGUCAUAGAAAUUAACUAGUCUCAAAUUACAUCUCUGUUCUAUCUAUACUCAUUGUUAACCGGGACAUACUGGAACUAAAACAGAUACCAAGAUUAGGCUCUUAAGGUACAAAAUACUGUUUGAUUGUGAGACAGAGGAGUUCAGAGAGGUUCUAAUGAUUAUAAAAACCUUGAGGUUGCGUACUCUUAUGGGAAUGCGUGGUUUACAACAUAGACGACCACUGAGGAUUGAAGAUCUCGAUCUACCUUGAAAUGCGCGUGGAAAAACCUCCUUACCUGUUUCAUUGCCAACAAAACAAAAAAUUUCGCCCAUGAAUGCAUAAAACAAAUGAAGUCAGAGAUGAAUGAAAAAAAAAAGAAAGAAGGGAGUGUGUUCUUGUUUCUAACUUGCCUCUUUAAAGGAAUGUUGGAUCAUGAAAUCUCUGAGUUUUGUUUCUUCUGAUGCAAACAAUACAAUAUGACUAGGCGGCUCUGACCAGUUUCUAGCUAACUCUGAUGCAAAACCUAAAGGGUUUACUAAGAACUGAUCCGACUCAUCAAGUUCUCCCUUCUCUGCACUGUUUCAGAAGAAGAAGAAGAAUCAUUAAGAAUCACAUAGAAGCAAGAGCUGUGACUCGGGGUGUGAUCCUUUACCUUGGAGUGCAGUCGAGAAAUUGCAUUGGAAUGUUACGAUGGAGAGUGGAAUAAUAGGGAGUAGAAUGGCACGGCAUGAGAAAGAGAAUGCUCUUUACUCUGCCUUUGUAUGCUUCAUCCGAUAAGUAAUUCAUCGCAUCCUCAGUUCCUCUCUGUUGGAAACAACAAAAUUCCUUUUUAGCACAAAUAGAGAUAGAGAGUAAACUCGGAAACUAGAUAGAGCCCUCAAGGUACUGGUGUUUUUACCUGGUGGAAUAAACUCAUGUAUAGUGCCAUUGGAAUAUUGGUAGCAAGCAAAAAAUAGACUGAAAGUCUUAGUUUGGGAGACCACUUGGUAUGGUUCUGUCGAGGGACUUGCUUCUUUUUAGUGACUGAUGAUGAUGAUGAUGAACCAGAUACUUCCAUUUGAGCAAAUGCAUACCCAGAGAAUAUCAAAGCUAUGGGUAGCACAGGCAGGACAAACCUAUCAUUCAUAAUCUAAGUAGACGACAUGGAAAACAUAAUAAAUGAUGAAAGGGUGUUCUUUGCAAAGUUUUUCGAUAUUGAAAGUGUAAGAAAACGGGGUAUGUUCUCCAAUCAUAUUACCUGAAUUCCUUAUGGCCGAGUAUGCUGUAUAUUGCUAAGACCCAUAGAAUAAGAGCUGAAAGCUUCUGAUUCUUAGACUUGAUAAUUCCAGCAAUGGAGAAUGGUGUGAAAGUGAAAAGCAUGACAAGAAAUCCCUGGGUGAAGUACCAGUGCCAUGGGUGAGUUCCGUAAUAGUCUCCACCAGACGAAAGGAAAUUAAACUUCAGAAAAUUGAGAGGCACAAUGACCCACGAGCCGUACAUCAGACGGUCCAACAAACAGGUGAAACCGAGGACCAAAGAUCUAACACCAGAAGCAAGUUAGCGCAAUGAAAUCUUCAAAAUCAAACAUUAAAACGAACAUUCAAGAGUAUAGCUUAGCUGCAGAGUUAAACUUACCCAAUCGGGAUCACCUCUAGAAUGAUGAAUUUGACCUUAUUAGGUGUCAAAAAUAGCUCGAGCAUCCCAACGUAUAACCAUAUGACUGCACUAGUUGGCCUUAUGGCACAUGCUAGGGCCGCUAUGACCAAACCCCACUUCCGAUUCACGGGAUAGUCUAUUGAAGAAUCUCUAAUACAAGGCCAGUAGUACAGCCCCAUGAUGGUAAGAACAGUCUCCAAACAGUUUGAAAAGGUACGGUUCAAACAGAAGAAGAUGAACCAGUUUGCCAUUUGACAAAAGAGCUACUAAAAAAGUUAAGGAAGCAAUCCAGAAUAAAAUGCAAAUACAAACCAAGAAAGAUUAAGAGGAAACCACUAACAGACUUAUCUAAGUAUUUCAUUGAAGCUCAGGAUAUCUAAUCUAACACCCUUCCCGUUACAUCGACCUAUCAUUGCGUAGGGAACCAUCAAAUGUAGUGUAAUGAUGGGUUGGCUCCAUUAUUGUAGAUAAUGUUUGUUUUUUAUUAACCAAGGUUUAAUCUUGGUUAAAUUCAUAGCCAUAUCAUUCAAAAAUGUAAAGCAAUUAACUUAGUAUGCUGCAUAGAAAGGAUACAGACCAAGUUGCAACAUUUCCUCCAUAUAAAGCAUCAGAGAGUUUAUACAAAUAGAGAUCACCAAUAGCUGAAAAUAUGGAUUGCAUAAGACGUGGGGCUUUGAUCUGCAAAGAAAUGAAAAAGGUUGUAACACAUAAACCACUCUAUCAACCUUUCUUUGAAUACGGUGAAAGCUAGAUAAAACUAUGUUCAAUUGAAUCAGAUUUUGGAUAAAACUUAGUUCAAAAUCAAGAUAACUAGGUUCUGCUUCUAAUAAGACCAAAAAAAAUCGAGAAACAAACCAUUAUGUAGGGAGUAUCAAGGCCAGUAACUUGUAGAAGUUUAUACAAGAAUGCGAACAACAUUGGAUGCAAAUAGCUUCGUAUUCCUCUUUUCCACUCCCAUGUCAUAUAACCAUACCUGUCAUUAACAUCAAUCAACCAACAAAAACUUACUAUGGAUUCAUUGCUCAAAUCACUGAUUCUUCUGAAUUAUCACUUCAACUAUGUGAUUUAUGCUUCCGAGACGAAUCUAGCACUAACACAGAUCAACGAAUGCAGUAAGAGAAACAAACACCAAAGUCUCAGUUCAAUCAGUUCCCACGAAUCCAACUUCAACUAAAGGAAAAGUCAAGUUUCAGAACCAGAGAAUAGAACCAUUUACCCAAAUAUGGUGCGGUGAGCUACUUCAAGUGAUUGCCAAUGUUCGUCAGGAUUGAAAUAAGUCUGAAUCAACAAUGCAUUUACCACACGAAACGCCAAGCAGAACAAGAAUAUCCUCCUCGGAGAUCCUAUUCGACCACCAAACGAAUCAGGUUCAUCUCCGACAUUAACUGACGCGCCAUCGGCGCCACCGUCGCCAUCGCCGCCGGCGUUCUUCCGCUUCCUUAUAUCCAUCGAAGAAGUCGUUAAAGUGCCUGCGAUUAUUAACACGUUGGAUUAAUUCACUGCUCAGCUUUCCAAAUUUUAGUGGGCUUAUAUAAAACGGGCUCUUGAUUAUUUUAGGCCCAUCUAUUUUUCAGUGAAGUCAUUGCCCUAUAAUUCGAACUUCGACGAUUGAACCUAUCGUUCAGUGAAGUCAUAAUAAUUUGUUAUUCAGUUUAGUUUGUUCCUUUAUUCUCUUUUUGUUAUUUUCGAAGCAAUGCUUCGACAAGAAUACACUCUAUGGACGUUACUUAUUACUUUACUUACGUAAAGAAAUUGACCUAAUACAAACUUUACUUACGUAAGAAACUUAACUGACAUAAAACAUCUAUCCAACCAAUCUGUCAUUCAAUUGCAUGCAGAGACGUGCCUAGAUGAAAAAAUAACAUUUGCUCUCAUCUUCCCCUACACCCUUUAAAUAUCACAAUAUAUUUUGGGUCCCAAUUUUUUUUUUUAUAAUCUUCAUCUGGUAAAACAUGCUUUUUUAGUGGUCAAUCAUUUUGUGUUUUACGUUCAUAGCUCCAUUUCGUAUAGGAACGGGAGUAUAAUUAAAAAGUUGAACGGACAGAUUCAAACAAAAUACAAUCAUAAAUUUUCUUUUUUUCAUCAUUCUUUAAUACUUGUAAAACGUUGAAAUUUAUUUACUUUUCACCAAUUUGAUUGUUUGGACUUUGGAGUAGUACUAUGUAAACAAACACUAUUUUGUAACGUUAAUUAACAUCUACACAAACAACUUUAGGUAAGUAAAUAAAGUCAAAUAAAUCAUAGUUUGUUUUUUUGGAAACAUCAAGUCAAAAAACAAUAACUACUCUUUGGAAAUACAAUUAUGUAAAAAAUCCCACCUAAAUAGUCUUUGUGAAACAAAUGUAAGAAAACAAAAAAAUGGCCGUUUCAUCGUCGCAUCAUGCGGUUCUCUUCCCUUACAUGUCAAAAGGCCACACGAUUCCUCUCCUCCAAUUCGCCCGUCUCCUCCUCCGUCACCGCCGUAUCGUCUCCGUAGACGACGAAGAACCAACCAUUUCCGUCACCGUCUUCACCACCCCAAAAAACCAACCAUUCGUCUCAAACUUCCUCUCUGACGUCGCAUCAUCUAUCAAAGUAAUCUCCCUCCCUUUCCCUGAAAACAUCGCCGGAAUCCCUCCCGGCGUCGAGAGCACCGACAUGCUCCCUUCCAUAUCACUUUACGUGCCCUUCACGCGCGCAACCAAAUCUCUCCAGCCUUUCUUCGAAGCAGAACUCAAGAAUCUUGAGAAAGUUUCUUUCAUGGUCUCCGAUGGAUUCUUAUGGUGGACAUCGGAAUCCGCCGCUAAAUUUGAGAUCCCGAGACUUGCCUUCUACGGCAUGAACUCCUACGCAUCGGCUAUGUGCUCCGCCAUUUCGGUACACGAGCUCUUUACCAAACCGGAAAGUGUUAAAUCUGAUACUGAACCGGUUACUGUACCGGAUUUUCCAUGGAUAUGUGUUAAGAAGUGUGAGUUCGAUCCGGUUUUGACCGAACCGGAUCAAUCGGAUCCAGCGUUCGAGCUACUCAUUGACCAUCUUAUGUCCACCAAGAAAAGCCGUGGAGUUAUAGUGAACAGCUUUUACGAGCUCGAGUCAACGUUCGUUGACUACCGGCUCCGUGAUAACGAUGAACCAAAACCGUGGUGUGUUGGGCCUUUGUGUUUGGUAAAUCCUCCAAAACCGGAGAGUGAUAAACCGGAUUGGAUUCAUUGGUUGGACCGGAAACUAGAGGAAAGAUGUCCGGUUAUGUAUGUGGCGUUUGGAACGCAGGCUGAGAUAUCGAACGAGCAGCUCAAGGAAAUAGCAUUAGGGUUGGAAGAUUCCAAGGUACGUUAAAGAAUGGAUUAAUGCCAACUUAAAACCUCAUAUUAAUACAGUUGACCAAUCACUUUUAUUAUUCCACCAAAUUCCAUGCAUGUCCUUUUAUUUGUUUUUGGUAUCAACCCAUAAAACAUUUUUUAGUCUAUAUAUAUAUAUAUAAAGAAAAGUAUUGUUUUGUGAAUUUACGUGGUCUUGAUUGUUUUAAAAAGGUCAAUUUCUUGUGGGUCACGAGAAAGGACUUGGAAGAAGUAACUGGAGGAUUAGGGUUCGAAAAGAGAGUGAAAGAGCAUGGGAUGAUUGUGAGAGAUUGGGUAGACCAAUGGGAGAUAUUGUCACAUAAAAGUGUCAAAGGGUUUUUGAGUCAUUGUGGAUGGAACUCGGCGCAAGAGAGUAUUUGCGCUGGGGUUCCACUACUCGCUUGGCCAAUGAUGGCAGAGCAGCCACUCAAUGCGAAGUUGGUAGUGGAGGAGCUAAAGAUCGGAGUAAGAAUCGAAACAGAAGAUGUAAGUGUGAAAGGAUUCGUGACAAGAGAAGAACUUAGUCGAAAGGUACCGUAUAUAUACCCUUUCAUGUUUCCAUCUUUUGUUUUAAUUGGUGUCAUGCAUAUAUUAGAAUAAAAUGUUUUGAAUAUGGUAAUCAUGGCUUUGCUUUUUGACUAACAAAUUAACAAGAAGGAAGCCUCUUUUUCCGUUUGACUGUAGAGUACCCCUUGAUUGUAUUUAUUAUUUGUACUAUUUAGGUUAAACAAUUGAUGGAGGGAGAGAUGGGGAAGACAACGAUGAAGAAUGUAAAAGAGUAUGCGAAAAUGGCGAAAAAAGCUAUGGCUCAAGGGACUGGUUCGUCUUGGAAGAGUUUGGAUUCGCUUCUGGAAGAGCUUUGUAAGAGUAGAGAGCCAGACGGUGUUAAUAAGUUGUCAAGUUCUGAUGCUUAGAGAGAUUAAGGAUUGGAUAACAAAACGGCUUCGUACCUAAUUUUAGUCAUUAAAUAUGUUAGGUUUGUUGAAAAGUUGGUCCAUUCUUCUCAAUUGGAUAUGAAUGACUAAUUUGGAGUUCUAAUUCUUGGUUUUGGUCUUAUAGUUUCAAAAAAUUUCAAUUGCAUUCAGUGGUUGCUUUAUGAGAUUUUUGCUAUCUUUGAGGUUAAUAUUGGCUGGUCAAUCCGAAGAAGCUAUCAACACCUUAGUGUUCUUCUGAAAGACUUAAAAAUGAGUUUGUAUGCAAAAGUAGUAUCUACUAUGAGAAGAAAUCAGACUAUAUAACAUUGAGACAGUUUAAGAACAAUGUAUUUUUACUCUACACUCGUUUUCUAUAUCUAACAUCCUCAAACCGAAACGAAAAGAAAAGAAAAAUUACAAGUUGAAAUAAUUAAGGGAGUUUCCUAACUAUUUACCAUCUAAAACCAAACAGUUCACACAAAAGUUUUUUGCCCAUAAUGACUACACUUUAAACGUCUUCUUUAUCUAUAGAGAAAUCAGGCUCAUCUGGUUUGAAUAGUUGAGGCAUCUUCAAACUGGUGGAAGAUCCAUCUUUCUUACCAGUACUACUACUUGAAGCCUUUUGAUUUGUUCCUCUUCUCGUGUUCGCCGCAAAUUUAGAUGCUAAGAUCGUUGCUCCCAGAUUUGUGUUGUCCAUUGAUCCGCCUUCCUCGUCACUUCCAUAGUAAUACUCUCUAGUUUCUUCGUCUUCUUCAUUGUAACCUGUUUCAUCCGGGUAAUAGUAUCCGCUACUCUCGUGAAGGCUGAGCUCUUUCGCAAGCUUUCUUCGCUUGUAUCUUCUCCAUGCAGAUUGGACAAAACAUGCUCCCCAUGCUCUCCAUUGAUGUGAGUAGUACCUGAAAGCGUGUUGAAGCUUUUUGCUUUGAAGACGUUUGAACUGAUGAGCAACAAACUUAAGAUCCUCUGCGCUUAAUGCAAAGGCUUCUACUUCAGAGAGGGCACGGACGCUUCGUGUUGAAGACGGAAGAUUGAGUGUAGAGUUUGGCAUUAAGGCCCAUGUAAGAAGUUCUUCCCCACAGAAAUCGCCAGGUCGUAGAGUAGUGGAGUUGAAGAAACCAGAUCUUCCUCCAUUUGUUGUUGAGCUCUCUAUUUGUCCUCGGAUCACAAAUAGCAUCUCAUUCACCGGAUCACCUUCACGGAAUAUGUAUGUCCCGGCCGUGCUUAAAGAUGAGACAAGGCAUCCGCAUAUAGCAUCAAGAAGUUGAUCAUCCAUUUGAGAGAAGAACGGGACCUGCACUUACCACAACAAUGUGACUUCUGAAUUGAAAAACAAUCAAAUCCAUAACAGUUUUUGAUGACUGAGUUGAUGUAUGUACCCGGCGAACAAGGGAGAGACAAAGAUGACGUUGGAUUUCACGGCGUAAAUCUGUAGGUAAUGAAUGGAGGAUUGAUUCUUCAUCGACACCUCUGGUUGCAAGCCAUUUGUAUUGGACAAAUCUUCGGACACGUUCUUGAAGCUCUGGAGGUAGUUGACGAUGUCUCAUCCAUUCUUCAGUGUCUCUUCUCUUAACUCUCCAUUCCUCAACUCUUACUGACAUCGAUUGCAGAGAAGACUUUCCACCAAAUUAAAAAUCAUGAAGUCUAUUGUUAGAAAGACAAAAAAAUGUCUCUGUAUUGAAAAGUUUUGCAGAGUGAUGCAUAAGCUCUGAAUCUUACUUGCAUGUUACCAAUCAGGAGUGUGAAGAGAAUCAACCCAAAAAUACAAAUUGUUAUACAGAACAAGGUCUCGCCAAGGUAUACACUUGUGGUUAUAUUCUGUCCAUAAGAACUGUGAAACAAAACCUUUAUUAAAACCAAAGGAGGACAAUUUAAGCAGAUACUGGUUAGAUAAAAGGUUGUCAUACCUUAGAUUUCUUAAACCCCACCAAAGACAAUACAAGUACUUGGACACAAAAUCUGUUGUAGCAACUUGAGUGGUAAAGGCUUCAGCAAACAUUCCGAAUUUGAAAUUGGUAGUGCUGCUUGUAGCAUCACAAUGAGAAAGGACCUGAGUAACGUUCUGCCAAUACUGGCGCUCUGGUUGUUCUAAACUCUUGCAAUCCAAGAAGCUAGGAAGACAAUCCAAAACUCUCAAAGCGUUGUCUUUCUUGCAUACGUUGGACCAGCACGAAAACUGCCGCCCGAUUGAUGACAGAUACCACAUUGCUCCUAACACCUGCCCACAAAUAGAGAUUCUUAGCAACUUAAAACUGAAGAAACCUAAAGAUUUGAAAAAACACACAAGAUAAAGAAAACUUACGUGACUAGCAAGGAUGUACAAUAGGAGGUUGUAUGCAGCUCCUGCCCAAGCAGUCUUGGCGAUAAACCCGGUUGUUUUGAUAAUCCUUUGGUUGAGUGGGAAUAUGAUGAAUGAUCUUGGAAUGUAUUGAACAAGAACGAUAAGUGCGAGAGUGCUAUUGGCAUGAUUAGCAGUUCCAUUUGUGGCCGCUGGAAUUACUAGCCAAAUAACAAGCUGAGAUCAAAAGAUAGUCAGAAACAAAGCAUGAGGCUCCCAAAAUAUCUCUGUUCUUUAAUCUUCUAGCUACCGCCUAACGAUUUUUGAACAUUGAUCUUAGCUAAUCGUAAUCCAUAUCAUUGCUUUCACAUUCAAAAUAAGAGCAAAAUCUUAAGAACCUGAGGAAGGGGAAGCAUGGCGGCGACAUCAAUGAGGAAAUCUGUCUUCAAGUAUCUCAUAGCAAUCUCUCUAGAAUCCAUAACAAGCUCACCGCGACCAAAAACACGAGAACUCCUCGCGACGAACGCAGUUCUGAAUUUCAUGAAAAUGUGCAAGAGGUGGAAGAUAUCGGCGACUGUACGGAAGAAAGUGACAGUAGCGGCGAGGCUGAUGUCGAUGGAGAGACACGCCGGACCACCGACGUAAGGGACGUAGAAAUAGAAAGGAUCGAGGAAGAGAGCGAGGAUUGAGGUAAUGAGAAAGACGUGGUUCCAAUAGGUGACGAUGUUGCUGUCCGGGUCCAGGAUCUGAUGCCGCCAUAGGACGCUGAAUUGGCUACCGUCAGAUCCUCGAUUUGAGGCGGCGGUGGAGGCGGAGGUUAUGGUCUCCGGGAGGAGGCAGCGGAGAGACCGGAUUUUAUUCAUCUUCCAUGGCGGAUUCCGGUGUUAAAUCGGAUUCCGCAUUAACACAGAGAGAGAUUGAGAUUGAUGGACAGAGAGGCUAGGUGGUUGCGUCGUGUGAUUUUUUGUUUUUUUGGGUUUUUGCAUUUUGUUUUUGAUGAUUAUGGAAGAAGGAGAGGAUUUCUCGCGGGAAAACUGAGAGAAGGGCCAUGGAAAUAGGGGGAAGGGUAGUUUUUGAAAAUAUGAUGGGAGAAUGAGGGUAUUUACGGAAUGUUAUAGUUGCGGGUCUCGUUUGUUUAUGCUGUUUUUGUGUUCUCAAAACAGCACACGUUUUGCAUCUCAAAACUUCAAUCGACACAAUAUCUACUGUUCUUAGUUGUUGGACCCACCGGCCCAAUAGUUAUAGAUCGGCCCAAUAGUUAUUUUUUUCUACUUUUUUUCUAUGAAAAUCAAAGGGAUAUAUACUAUAUAUGCUUUAGGAUUUUAAAAUUACACAUUAUAAUGUAUACAAUUGCUAUGAUCAUUUCUAUUGAUAAACUAAUAAUGUUUUUAGUAGUUUUAACUUAAAGUCCGGUUUAAUAUUGUUUAGUUCAAUUGUUCAAAGAAUAAAAAAAAAAAUUAUAAUUAAUUCGUAAAACCAUGAUAAGAUUAGUUAAAAUAUCUAAUUCGUUAUGAGGUUCAUUAGAAUUUAUUUAAGUGAAUUAUUGAAGUUUUAUGAGCUACAUUUAUUAUAUUUUGUCAACACAUUAAACCCGUAAUUCAAUUAUACUGUCUUUUGUAGUAUUUCCGUUUUUGACAUCAGUUUAACAAAUUGUCUUACAUAAUUCAUUUGUUGUUGUUAUGUACUAUUAAAAGUAUAUAGAAGCACGCGUACCAAACAUUCUGUGACAAUAUGUGGUAGUGGGAAGAUAGUGUACAUGCUUGUUGACACCAUCCAUAAGAUAGUGUACCUAUAAAAUAACAAAAAGGGAAUAGAAAUCCUUAGAAACAAUUAUGCGAAUAUAAAAGGGAUAAUAAGAAGUGAGAAUAAUAAAAUGAAUACUGAAAUUAAAAAUUACGUCACGGAAAAAUGAUGUUUAUCCACACAAAAAGAACAACAACUUCCAUCAUAUCAUAUAGAGGGACAUACUAACUUUUCCACUUCCAAAAAAUCACACUUAUGCGUAAUUGUUUUCUCUAACAAUAAUGACGUAUUUUAGUCCUUCAAAUUUUAGUACUCCAUCAUUUUCCGAUUAGACACAAAGUAGUAAUUUCAAUAUAAAAAAUUAAUAACAAGCUUUUAUAAAUGAUUAUGAUAACUUAUACUAACAUAUGUGACAAUAUUGUUUUCUCUAUGCUUGUUAAACGUAAUUAAGAAACAAUGAUGUUAAUUACUCCAACUAAUUCAUGGAUCUAGAAAUACGAUGUUGGUUAAACAUUAUUAUCGACUAAUUUAUUACUUCGUUAAUGGCUGCUAUUAAGUAUGACCACGUGUGGCAGAUUUGAGAUGUUUAGCGAUCUUUAAAUAUAGAAUCCGACGGGAUCCAAUUCUCCUCUUUUUUUUUUAUUCCACUUUGCCACUGUGAUUAUAUAAUAAGUAUGAUUAAUUAAGAGAUUUACAUUCUAUUGAUUUACUUUAUUAUUUUAUUCAUGUGGAGUAGACUAUACGACAACUACUUUAUCGUUACUUUUUAAUUUUAUUUUUUAGUGAAAAUUUGCUAGUCAAGUUUAGAAAAUUCAAAAUAGCAUUUCACUUUUAUAUGCACGAUUGAUUUCGUUGCUUAUAUUAAGAUAAGGAAAACAAAUGUUACUCUUCCUAAAAAAAUUGUUCUUUGAGAAUACAAUUUACGUGUUCCUCUUUUCAAUAAAGUCGCUGGUGUUUAUGAAACACACAUUAGAAAGAAAAAAAAAAGAUUUAAAACAUUUAUGAAGAUGGCAAAGGUUCCCACUUCCCAUUGUAGGAAGCAACAAAUUUCCUUUUUGUUUGAUUAAUAUAAAUGCUUACGGGACGCAAGAAGAAAUUUCGUGAUCGUGAACAUAUUAAUCAUUUGGGACCCUAAUGAAAAAGACUAAUAAAAUCUUUUGUUUUAUCGAAUAAAAAGUAGAUUGUAGUUUUGUGAAGUUUAAAGCACUCGCUUAUCAAUUGUUUUAUCUAAAGAAAUAAGAUAAGCUGCUUUCAAAGUGGUAAGAGUUAGGUCUUGAUAAAAAAAAAGUCUUGAAGGUGGUGCCACACCAAAAUCCUUGCACCUUUCUAUUACAUACACACGUGUAUAGAGAUUUUUAGUCAUAUCUUUGAAUAAAUAAUCUUUGGAUAUAUGUAUAGUGAAUAAUUUGUGGGUUUGAGAGUUGGAGAGGAUGAACUACAGGUCACGUAAUAUACCCUAAAAUAAACCAUCACGAAAGAAUAGAAUAGAGAAUCUCUUGGUACUAUCAAACAAACAAUAAAAAAAAAAAAAAGUAAAAGUGACGAAGACACCAAUCUAUUCAUUUCCCACCCAUCUCCCAUUAAUAUUUCUUUCAUCUCUUAUUAUUUUUUACAUGCAUAUUUUUCUAUCUCUAACCUUUUGUUUUUGGUUCACUCAAAAUUUGUGGUACUUUGAUCCACAUAUAAUAUUUGCAUAUGUUAGUACGGUCUUAUAUAAUAGCCAUGUGAUAGUAAACCCUUUCACAACAUACAGUAAAUAUACCUAGUAUAUAUAGUUUCAACGGUUCAAGAUUCAAAAUAUCGUCUUAAACAGCGACCAGAUAUUCUUGAACCUCCAAAACGAUCUAAUUUUAAUAAAUUGGUGAAUGAAAUCGAUUUAUUAGUUUAAGCUUUUAAAAUCGGUUUUGAUCAAUCAAAUCGGCCUAGUGUGAAAAAACAGAAAUUUUUCUAUUUUCUUUUUUUUUUUUUUUUUUUUUUUGCAGCGAAUCUAUAAUACAUGUAAAAUUAACUAGUGUGAAAAAAUGUUACAAAGAUCUUACGUGAAUUUCGACACAAUCACCUAUAUAUAGUCAAAAAUGAAUUUUGAUAUAAUAAUACUAAUAUACUUAACCAUAUAAAAAGAUUUGCACAUUCUUCCAUAACAAAGAAGGCCCCACUAAUUUUCUUAAGGAGUAUGUUAUUUUGCAGUUAUAUUUGUGGCAGUUAUCUUAAUCAUUCUUUCAUAUGUUUUGUCUGUGUGUUUCCUCUCUCUCUCUCUCUUUGUGGUUCUUGAUUUUGUUGGCCAAACCUUUUCCUUUGUACCUUCAAUGCCAUUAAUCACAAACCCAAAGAAUCCAUAGAGAAAAAGUUCCUAACGUCAAUCGAAUUAAAUUCCCCACUUUUCCACAAAAACUAAAUCGCAUCUUUUGAAGUUUCUCAUCUCCCAAAAAUGUUAUUCCUUUGAUCUUUAGAUACAAAACCCAUUCAAUGGAUCUCGAGCGUCUAAGCCCAAGAAAUCCAGUUAAGGUAUAAAAUUCUCAAUAUUCAAUUCCAUAAUCCUUUCUUUCUUUUAGUUGCUUAAAUUGGUAAUGGUUUUUGCAGAAAGAAUCUUGGUGGACGGUUCUGACAUUAGCUUACCAAAGCUUAGGUGUAGUCUACGGAGAUUUAGCAACUUCACCAUUGUAUGUCUACAAGAGCACUUUUGCUGAAGACAUAACACAUUCUGAGACAAACGAAGAGAUCUUUGGUGUUCUGUCUCUUAUCUUCUGGACAUUAACUUUAAUCCCACUUGUUAAAUACGUUUUUAUUGUUCUUCGUGCUGAUGAUAAUGGUGAAGGUGGGACUUUUGCUCUCUACUCUUUAUUAUGUCGCCAUGCUAGAAUCAGCUCUUUGCCCAAUUUCCAGCUCGCUGAUGAGGACCUUUCUGAGUAUAAGAAAAAUUCCGGGGAGAAUCCGAUGAGAUUAAAAGUUCCGGGGUGGAGUUUGAAAAACACUCUGGAGAAGCAUAAGUUUCUGCAGAAUAUGUUACUUGUUCUUGCUCUGAUUGGGACUUGUAUGGUUAUUGGUGAUGGUGUUCUCACACCUGCAAUCUCUGGUAAAAGAUUGUUUCCUUUUUGUUAGAUUUGUGUGGAUUUCUCAAGAUCUUUAGUAGUUGAUGGUUUUGUAUUAUUUUUGGGUGUGAAUUUGCAGUUUUCUCAGCAGUCUCUGGAUUAGAAUUAUCCAUGUCUAAGCAGCAACAUCAAUGUAAGCUCUUUACUUCUUUUGAUCAGGAUGUAAAAUUGGAAUUUUUAGUAUCACUAGAUCCCCAAAAUGUCAAAUUAUGCUAUUUUUAGUGUUUUCCUCUGAAGUUUAGUCCAUACUGUUUAAGAUAGUUUAGGAGCAGGAUUUGCUGCAUCAGGUAGUUUUAGAUUAGCUAUUUUGGUCUUUCUUUUGUCCACAUAGUCAAUUGGCUACUUGCAUGUUAGGUUGAAUCCAUGUAGGAUCAACAAGAAGCUUCUUAAUUAUGUAUAAAAUAAGUUAAUUAACUUUUUUUUUUGGUGUGGAAGGUGAGUCUGAUGCAGAUGCAUUCUUAUAAUCAUAAGAUAAUGAAUGUGGUUUAGGAGUUAAUAAUUUAUUAAAGAUAUAAAAUCUAAAGGAAUAUAAAAGUCAUAAAGCUUAUACCUUUUGAAAACUCAAGUGGUCAAAGAAAAAGGUAGUUGGUUUGGAUAAGAAGACUAUCAAGUCAUAAAGUUCUUAUGAAUUUGAAGUAACCUUCUUUAUUUGAAUCAUUAACCUGCACAAUUCUUGCAGAUGUGGAGGUGCCUGUGGUCUGUGCCAUACUGAUACUCUUGUUCUCGCUACAACACUAUGGAACACAUCGUUUAGGUUUUGUUUUUGCUCCCAUUGUGCUUGCAUGGCUUCUCUGUAUAAGCACCAUUGGUGUAUACAACAUCUUCCAUUGGAAUCCUCAUGUUUACAAAGCAUUGUCUCCUUAUUACAUCUACAAGUUCCUCAAGAAAACUCGUAAACGCGGAUGGAUGUCCCUCGGUGGCAUCCUUUUAUGCAUUACAGGUAACAAAAGAGAGAAAGAACUGUUUUGUUUUUGAGUUUCAAAGCUUUUUUCCCAUAAAUUUGUUUCUGUCCUGUUUUCGCAGGCUCGGAAGCUAUGUUUGCUGAUCUAGGACACUUCACUCAGUUGUCAAUACAGGUAAAGUUUUGUAAACUUUGAAUAUUUUGUGUUCUGUUGUUAGCUGUCCCUGAAACCUGCAUGUUUUUUUUGACUCCCUGGCUGCAGAUUGCAUUCACAUUCGCUGUUUACCCGUCGUUAAUCCUCGCAUACAUGGGUCAAGCCGCGUAUCUAUCUAAGCACCAUGUCCUCCAGAGUGACUACCGGAUUGGAUUCUAUGUUUCUGUACCAGGUAUAUAUCUACUCAUCAUCUUGUUAACCAGCUAAAAUGCAAUUCUUUGUUUGGCAUAGUUUUUCACUAGUUUGUUUGUUGUGUACAGAGCAAAUAAGAUGGCCAGUUUUAGCAAUUGCUAUAUUGGCAGCUGUUGUUGGAAGUCAGGCAAUAAUCACAGGAACAUUCUCGAUCAUCAAGCAAUGUACUUCUCUAGGUUGCUUCCCAAAAGUCAAAAUCGUACACACUUCGUCGAGAAUGCAUGGUCAGAUAUAUAUCCCUGAGAUCAACUGGACUCUCAUGCUCUUGUGCUUAGCCGUCACCGUUGGAUUCCGCGACACCAAACACAUAAGCAAUGCAUCAGGUACAGUAUCUGUAACCAUAGCCAUAACCACUAAACUAACAAAUGUAUGAAAAUCAAGAAACUCUCCGGUUCUGAUUUUUUUCUUCUCUGUAAUCUGUAUGCAGGUUUGGCGGUUAUUACCGUUAUGCUAGUAACGACUUGCUUGAUGUCUUUGGUAAUAGUCUUAUGCUGGCGCAAAAGCUCCCUCUACGCACUAGCCUUCAUUUUCUUCUUCGGAACAAUUGAAGUUCUGUAUUUCUCAGCUUCACUCAUCAAAUUCCUCGAAGGGGCUUGGGUUCCAGUCGCACUCUCCUUCAUCUUCCUCCUCAUCAUGUACGUUUGGCACUACGGAACCCUUAAGCGUUACGAAUUUGACGUUCAAAACAAAGUCUCAAUCAACUGGCUCCUCACACUUUUCGGCUCUUCAAACCUCGGAAUUGUCCGAGUCCAUGGAAUCGGCGUGAUCAACACCGAACUUGUCUCGGGCAUACCAGCUAUCUUCUCUCAUUUCAUCACUAACCUCCCGGCGUUUCACCAAGUCGUUGUCUUCCUCUGCGUGAAAUCUGUCCCCGUCCCGCAUGUGAAACCGGAGGAACGGUUUCUAGUGGGAAGGGUUGGACCGAAGGAGUACCGGCUCUACCGGUGUAUAGCCCGGUAUGGAUACCGCGAUGUACACAAAGACGAUGUCGAGUUUGAGAAUGACCUCAUUUGCAGUAUCGCGGAGUUUAUCCGUUCAGAUAAACCAUUGAAUUACUCCCCGGACCCGGAAAAUGAAUCUGGAAUAAAUGAGAGGCUAACUGUCGUCGCGGCUUCCUCUUCCAAUCUUGAAGGCGUACAAAUCUAUGAAGACGAUGGUUCUGACAAACAAGAACCAUCUUCUUCUUCGGAGGUAAUCAUGGUGGCUCCUUCUCCGAGAUUCAAGAAAAGGGUACGGUUUGUGUUACCAGAAAGUGCGAGGAUCGAUAGAUCGGCGGAGGAGGAGCUAACAGAGCUCACUGAGGCUCGUGAGGCAGGAAUGGCGUUUAUAAUGGGACAUUCAUAUGUGAGAGCAAAAUCGGGAUCGAGUGUGAUGAAGAAGAUCGCUAUUAACUUUGGCUACGAUUUUCUUAGAAGAAACUCAAGGGGUCCUUGUUAUGGUCUCUCUACUCCUCACGCUUCUACUUUAGAAGUUGGUAUGGUUUAUAUCGUUUGACUAUACUUUUUUCUUUUUUGUUAAAUCUGAAUAAACUUCAGUUUUGUAAAUUAUGGUAAGAUAAAUUUGUCAGAGUUCUUUUUCGUUGUUGUUGUAAUUUUUGUGUAGAGAUGUUAGAGUUGCGUGUGGCAUAAGUGACAUGCUUUUUGUUUUUGUAAUGACUUGUCCCUACUGAUUAGGAUUCAAAGAGAAAAGGAUUGAAGAAUAAGCAGACAAGACUGAGCAUAUGAUUCUUGUCUCUUUAUGUUUCUUUAACUCCAAAUCUUCUCUUUUGUCGGUUUAUCUCAUCAUAUAUGUAAGUGCAUAGAAACACAUAUACAUGUACAAUUGCAUAUUUAUCUACUCUCUGAACUUGUGAGCAACUCUUGCUCUGUUUUCCUUAAAAAAAAUGAGGAAAAAUGCAAAUUUGUUGAUUUUGUUUAUGAUUUUCAUGUUUUUCUUUUGUGGGUUAUCCUCAGUUUCAGCUAAACCUCCUCCUGUUAGUGAGUUGUUUAUUACCCUAAACUGAUUUUCUUUAUAUAAAUACAAGUUUUCACUUUUGUUGUAAUGAAUGUCUGAAAAUGUUCUUGUUUUUCUCUGUUUUGGGAACAGAGAUUGUAAGUGGGCUUGUGACAAAUGUAGCAUCGAUACUCUGGAAAUGGUUAUGGUCUCUUCAAACAUCCACAACCACAACAACCACCACAAAAUCUGGUAAGAAGACCCACAAACAAAGAAGUGUAUAAUGAUCUUGAUUUCAAAGUUUCAAUUGCAAAAAUAAAGAGAAACUUGAGGAAAUGUAACAGGUGUUUCUAGCCGUUCGAUGGUGAAAUACGAAAGUGGAUAUAACAUGGAGACAGUUUUUGAUGGAAGUAAGCUUGGGAUUGAGCCCUAUGCGAUUGAAGUUUCCCCUAAUGGAGGAGAGCUUAUUGUCUUGGAUUCUGAGAACAGUAACAUCCACAAAAUCUCCAUGCCUCUUUCUAGAUGUAAGUUCACUUCAUAUCUAUCUUGCAUUUGAUUGAUUAUAAAGAAACUCUUAAGAUCGAUUUUUCCGGACACGUAUACAAUUUAUUUUAUGGGAUAUUCAAUCAAUUCCCAUUCCUAUAUAUGACCCACCAAAAAUGUUAAAUCAUGUAUGCACAAUUAUGCUUUGCUUCAAGAUGGGGAUUCGUUUUGGUGCGCUUUUUAUUUUUUAGUUCAGUUAAAAAGUGAGUUCUUCAUUUCAGAUUCCAAAGUUUCUUUCUUUGAAAACCAAAGCCUUUUAUAGAUUAUAACUUUUGCACUUUAGUCCACAACACGACUCAUUAGCUUUUAUCCAUGCUCUGCUUUGUUCUCUGUUUUUCAGGUUUAUUCAUUCUGUUCUUUCUUGUUCGUCAAGUUAACAACCUUUUGUCAGACUAAAGCACCGAACUAUUGCUUAUGGAUAGAUUCUAGGAUUUAAAUUAGACAGAUUCAGAUUCUUAGGGAUUUGUGAAUUAAUCUGUGUUUUUGAAUAUGCUGAAGAUGGUAAACCAAAGCUACUCUCUGGUUCACAAGAAGGCUACACAGGACAUGUCGAUGGGAAACUCAAAGAAGCGAGAAUGAAUCGUCCUCGAGGAUUAGCCAUGGACGACAGGGGGAACAUCUACGUCGCCGAUACUAUCAAUAUGGCCAUACGCAAGAUCAGCGAUGACGGUAACUACAAUUCGUUUGCAUGCGUUUCCGCUUUGAAAAACGGAAUUUUAAUUAAAGUUUUUUUGUUCAGGAGUCUCAACCAUCGCCGCUGGAGGAAGAUGGAGCGGUGGAUCUAAAGAGGAGUCAAUGAGAUUCUCCGAUGACUUUGAUUUAAUAUAUGUCUCUUCAAGCUGCUCUCUUCUAGUCAUUGAUCGAGGGAAUCAAUUGAUUAAAGAGAUUCAGCUUCACGAUCAUGACUGUUCUCAACCGGAACCCGACACAGAUAGUCUCCAUCUUGGUAAGCUUCUUGAAAAAACGACAUUGGUUGUUUAUAUUUGGUGUUGUGGUUUUCUUAAAAACGAUGCCAUUUCGGUUUGUAUAUCUUUGUAGGAACCGCUUUGCUGGUUGCUGCUGUGUUCUUUGGGUAUAUGUUAGCAUUAUUAGUUCGUAGGGUACGAUCGCUGUUCUCUUCGUCUAGCCAUGUGAGUGAAUCUGUUUGCUUUGGUUUGGUUCGGUUCGAAAUUUGAACUAGGGUAGACAACCAAUAAGCCUCAUUGCUCUGUUUUUGAUUUCAGGAUACUAAGAGUAAGAGACAUGUAGCAACACCGAGCAUGACAAUGGCUCCGUACCAACGUUAUCCAAGACCGGUACGACAGCCAUUAAUCCCACCUCAACAUGAAUCGGAAAAAGAAGAAGGAUUUCUCGGUUCGCUUGGAAAGCUAGUCGUGAAAACCGGUUCUUCGGUUUCCGAGAUGAUGUCCGGUUCUAGAAAUGUAAUUCCCCCAAACUUUCAUCAGUACCACCAUCAGCAAGAACCGAACCAAUGGCCGGUACAAGAGAGUUUCGCUAUACCGGAAGAAGAUGGACCACCAGCUUUAGAACCGAGAUCAGGUACAAAUCCAGAUAAACCCUACCUUAGAGCACAAGGAACCAACCAAAACCGGUCUUAUUACCAAGACUAUGAUCAAUACCAAAACCAGCAGAAACGCAAUGUGAACGAUACAGCGUCGUUCGAAGAUAACCGAGAGAAGAACGAGAUUGUUUUUGGGGCAGUUCAGGAGCAGGACGGUCGCCGAGAAGCCAUGGUGAUCAAGGCCGUUGAUUUCAACGAAGCCAUUAACGAUCAGCGCAAUCUACGGCCCAGAAUUAAUUAUAUGGGAUAUUCUUCACAAGUUUACUGAUUAAAGAAAGUCAAAUUUUCAUAAUUUACGUAAAGCGUGUGUAAUAUAUUUCUUCAAGUUCUUAUUUUAAUGUAGGAUACUUUAAAUCAUAUAAUUGGCUCACUAACGGUCGACCGUUAUAAAAGUUACCGGGACUAACGGCUUACUGCACCGACUUAACAAGUUAUACUAUGAGAUCAGACCAUCUAAUAUUUAACAAAUCUACCGGUUCAAUUUCGGUUCAUAUCAGCAAAACCGAUGGCCAGGUAAGUGAAGAUUCUUAAAAACCGGUUUAUGGCAGUUACGUACGCAAUUCCAGCUCUUGAUUUAGUUGCCAUUUAUAUCCCAUUUAUUUCGCAUUGGUUAUACAGAGUACGAGAGAGAAAUAGAAGACGAAGAAGAAGAAGGAGAUUUCUUGCAAGAGAAAGAGAAAAUUAGGGUUAGGGUUGCAGAGAAACAGAGAGGAAGAAGGAUUCGAAGAAUCCAAAUCCAAGCUCUGUAUUCAUCUCUCUCCCUUUCUCUUAAUCUUUACGAUCUUUCUCAAAAUCAAUCUCAUUGUUUCAUGGGCCUUGAAUCUUUUCCGAUCUCUGAAAUGGACGCGACCGAUGAAAUGCACGAAGCCAUGUUCGCGAAACGAGGUUGUUGUUUUAUCCUCCCUUGUCUUGGAUCAUCUCAGCCAUCUGGUCCUAACGGAUCUGUGUGGUGGCAACGAAUCAGAACCGUUGAUAAAUUGGAGCCUGAUGAGCGGUGGUGGGUCUCUGGGUGGAUGAAGAUGAGGGAAUGGUCUGAGAUCGUAGCUGGUCCCAAAUGGAAAACUUUUAUCCGUCGCUUUGGACGUAAUCACUGCUGCAACGGUGGCAUUGACGGUGGUUGUAAUCGGCCGGAGCAUGUUAGUUUCCGGUACGAUUCGUGGAGUUACUCGUUGAAUUUCGACGACGGGAAACAGACGGGUCAUUUCGAAGAUGAGUUUCCUUACCGUGAUUACUCGAUGAGGUUCGCUGCGCCGUCUCUGCCGGUUUCUACUAAAUGCUCCAUUGAUUUCGACAAUGAUAACCACGCGCCGUCGCUGUUUAAGUGAAAAAUGUCACGCGCUUCUCUGUUCCGGUACUGCUCUGUUCUAAAUGGGCUGGCGCUAACGUGCACCGCACUGAUGAAAGGGGAGAUACAUUAGAAGAAACAGUGGAUUUUUUUCUUUGCAAAGAAAUAUUACUUUUUUACACAGCUUUCAUUUAUUUGUUUUUUGUAAUUCUUUCACUUUGAAUGAAAUUAUUUAUUUGAUCACUAUUUUCUCCCAUUUUUGAUUAACUUUAUUUGAUCAAAUUUUGUGAGAAAAUUGUUAGUGAUCAAUUUUUGUAAUUCUACACACAAAGAUAAACUUUUUAGAGAAAGACAUGAUGAAGGUAGGAAACAUAUAUUUAUAUAUUUAUGUAAAAUACAGUAUAUAAUCCAACAAGAAAUAGGAGAAAGGAAGCUAUUUAAUGGGUUGGAGAAGGUUGCAAUUGCAGAGGAAUAGCAACAGAAACGGUAAGAGACUGUCUUUGUGCCUGUCUCUACCUUCAGACAUGCUCACCAUGUUUUUUUCAGGUACAUUACAUUGUUGUAGAAUUACCUUAUGCAAUUUCCUAUUUGGAACCUUGCCAAAAGCUAGAGUUUACUUCUAAGUACCUCUGCUGAUUUCCUACAGUUUCAUGUGUUCAGAAAACUAAACACAAUGUAAUGUUUCAGACAAUGAUCUUGUCUUGUGGUUGAAUCAGUUUUUUUUUUUUUUUUUUUUUUUUUUUUUUUUCUGUAGAAACUUUUUUACGUUUUAGCUACUACUCACUUGUACAUUUUUUAUAUCGUUGGUGGAUCUUAUAUUUUUUAAAUGUUGUCCAUCUUGUCCGUUAAUUAGGUGCAGUAUGAUUUAAAGUGACGGUAUAGCGUUAUGGAUCUUAUUACUUCUGCAGAGAUGCUAAAAUUGAUGAACAAUAUGCUUUUAGAAUAAGUGGUAAUAGCUUAGUGAUUUAGACAUAUUACCCUGAAUUAAGGGAUGGAUAUGGGUAUUGGAAUCUUAUUCAACUAAUAAGGUAAUGAUGUGAAAGUUUAGCUCUGAGUUUUUAUGCAGCUGGAAGCAUCUCAUUGGUGUUGGAACUAAGCUUUUCAUUGCAAGUUGCAGAUAUAUUUAGCUUACACAAUGGCAAAAAAACAAAAUUAAUGUAAUUAAAAACAAAAUUUUCUCUUUAAGAAUUGCUAUACAAUUUACAACUCCUCUCUUCUGACAGUUUUCUCUUCUUAUAGUGCCUUUCAAGAACUCGUUUGGCCUCAGAACUGGGAAAGUUAGCAAGCUUAUAGUAAUGUGGUGCAACAUCUACAAGCCAUUCACCGCGAAUAUGUGUGACGGUUCGGAUGAAAUUUCGGCUAGUGAAAACGUAUUCGUUGUAAACUACCCACUCUGGUUUGUGAUCCAAGCAAUUGGAAGGAUGCAAGUGCACCACUUGGUCAUCCUUAUCUCUGAAAGUCAAGUAGUGGCCAGUGCGUUCUAGGUGAGCCACUUGCAUGAAAUAACCUGCAAGCAAGGCCUUUCUUAUGUUGACGUAGUAGUCCCUGCUGUUGAAAUCAGGGCUACACAACUUAAUCUGAAACCUCAACAUGAUCCGGACCAACUGCUCUCUAACACUAACUGCAGACUUCAUUGCUCUGUAGUUGAUGAACUUUGUACAGCACCAAUUUGGGUCUUGGUUGUUUUGCAAGAAAGCAUGGAACAAAUUCAAAAGUGUGAGAUGAUCUCCAUCAAUGUGUGCAAAGCUAGAUUUGGCUUCAUCUGCUGCUUUUUGAGCUUCUCCUCUUGGCCUGAUGAAACAAUUUGGUACUGAUAACAUCGCAGAAAUCGAAAGAAUCUCGUUUGAGCAGUUGAAUUGAGGACUGACUAUGAGCAUCUUUGCCAUCUGUGGGUCUAAAGGAAACUCACUCAUCAUCUCACCUGUCUUUGUCAAGUUACAGUCAUCAUCAAGUGCUCCCAAAUGAUACAAAUCGUCCAAGGCCCGAGCGAGGGUAUCAGGAGCAGGAGAAUCUAUAAGAUCGAAGCGUACCAAGUUUUUCACACUAAGUCCUUUCAAGGUCAGAACUGUGUUUGCAAGGUUUGUCAUUGUCAUUUGCAAGGAGUAAUAUAAUGUUUGAUGGUCAAAAAUUAUAUUACUCCAUGAAUUUAUGAACCUUCUGACAGAAAGAGAGCUUUUCUAAAGGGUAUUUAUGUCUUUUUACAGGCUUGCUUCGAGUGGAUAAUGUGAGAAAAGAGCAAAACACAAAAAUGAAAAAACCUUCUUCUCUUGUAACUCGCACAACCUUAUCGAGUGAAAGAAGAUUGGGUCAGUAGUGAAAAAUGGCGUCGAUUGCAGCUUCUUCUACCUUUCACUCGUUUUGCAGAACCAAAAGCCCUAAUCUUUCUUCGACCCACCUUCUUCCUUUGUCGAAAAACCUCAACUUUCGGACCAGAGCUAUCGGAAAUAGCCGCAAUUGCAGUUUUGCUGGGUUUAUAAAACAAAAUCGCCUUGGAUUGAGGAAGCUUUCGUCUAUUGGAGAAGGAGGAGAAGGUGUCGCUGUCGCAGAGGAGCAACCGCAAGAGACUGUCUCUGUUCCUGUCUCUCCUUCAGACAUGCUCACCAUGUUUUUCCAGGUACAUCACUCUCUGUCCAGUGAAUUUGUGUGAUUAUCAUCCUCAUUCUCCACUUAUGGCUUUUUAAUAGAUAUAGUAGGAUUGAUUCAUGGUUGUAUUAUAAGGUCUUAGAAAUGAGGUUUGCAAAAUUGUAUUGAUACUGUUUUGAAGAUACUAUGAGCAUUACUCUGUUGCAAUUUCAUGUGGCCUCAAAUUGAGUCUGAACAUUGUUGGAUUUUUUGCUUGAUUAUGAAGGCUGAUGGAACUUUGAACGAAGCAGCUAUUCCUAAUGUGACAAGGGCCUUACAGGUAAUACUUUGCUUUGUAAUCUCUCCUUGAACUAGCAAAUCUGUGUGGAGCUUGACGAGAAUCUUUGUGAAUGCAUCUGGUUCUUGGAUUAUAUAACCCUUUUGGUUACUUGUUUCAAUUCAAUUUAAUCUUUGUAGUUGUGUUAAACUUGGAAUUUGGGUGUUCACUUUACUCUUUCCACGCUCUAAAUCUUCCUUAGUACCUAUAGCUUACAAAAACAGUGAAUAUAAAGGUUCCAAUUGAUACUUGUUUUGUUCUUUCAGGAUAUUGAUGGAGUUUCCAAUUUAAAGGUUCAGGUUUCUGAAGGUGUUGCCGUCGUUGAGGUAUGUUUUACAUCCAACAUUGCCUUUACAUGUCUCUUCACACCCCUACACAGUACACAUAUAUGUUUAGAGGAUAUAAAUAGAUAAGGACAGAUGUUGAAUAUGUUAUUAGAGAUAUAAUGGCUGGCACACCCUUAGAAGGACUGGACUGGUCAAAUAUGUCAUUUUGUUGUACAUUUUGGUGGUUAACCAGGGGAUUAGUCUUUGGGGCCGUAUAACAAAAGCCUCGAGCCUGACCUUGAAUAGUUAAGGCCUUUAUAUGAACGGUUCUGUUACUGCUCGUAGCAACAUCUCUAUGUUUGAUUGUACAAUUGAAUCUGGCUUAUGUUGUGAUCAAUGUAUGUGAAGCUUUUGAAGCAAACAACGGUUCAAGCAACAGGAGUGGCGUCAAACUUGGUGGAGACUAUACAAGGAGCUGGAUUUAAGUUACAGACUUUGAAUCUGAGUUUUGAAGAUGACGAUGAGGUUCUUGUCUAGUGAAAUCAUCCUUUUCCUCCAUUUUGUGAUUAAAGAAACUCAUAAUGUUCAAUUCUAGGGAUAAUUUCUUUCAUUUGUUCCUCUAAAGAAAACAAAUGUGGUAACUUUUUUUAGAAAGUGGGAAUUAAUGUUUUCUUUGUUGAAAUAAAAGAGAAAUGGAAAAUAUCUAUAUUGAUUAGUGGGUCAUAUACAUAUGGGUUCCCACAAAGCAUGGAGGUUGGCAUUUUUAUAGACUUUUAGGUUCAUUGCUUUGUACAAUGCAUUUAGUUUUGUGUGUGGAUAUGAUUGUCAUUUGUCACUAUGUAUAUGUAUGCAUGUACGAUGUUGACAUUGUGGAGUACUGUGGUUGAUGAUAUGGUGAAUCACAGCUCAUGCAUUGUUGUACUUAUAACCCAAAUCUUUACUUUUUUAAAAAAUGUGAUAUUAUAGACCAAAAACCUGUUCUUACCAAAACAUGUGAAACAAUCCUCUGUUUUAACAUCUUAAUUUAUGAAACUAUGUCAUCGUGGAGUCUGUUUUAGUUUAUUCAUUACGUAAAAGAAGAUAAGAAACAUUCAUUCGUAACAAAAUUUUAUCAUGUUAACAGAAAAGAGGAAAGUGUGUGUACUCGCGACAUAUGUAAUGAUAAAAAAUAUGUAUGUACUCGUUGUCGAUUUCACUUUAAUUACACUGUUGACCUCUUUUUCGAAAAUAUCAGAAUUAUAAAUAAAUAAUAAUAAUAAUCACCGCAACCAUUUAAAGAACUCAUGUGCUAUUGUCCAUCUAUGAUUUGAGAACACUUAAUUUUUUAUUAGAAAAUAUGAAAGAUAUAUACCAUAUAGCUUAGAUAUUUCAAAACAAAGUAUAGUAGUAAUCUCGUAGGCCAUGCUUGCUAAGUUAGCUAAACAUAAACGACAAACCCUUGCUCACUGGUGCAAUAAUCGAAGUGAAGAGCCUCUUUAUAUGAAAUAUAUAAGCGACACAGCCUUAUGGGCAAAUCGAAUGCUAUUUAUUUAUUUGAUAAGAAGAUUAAUAAUUUCAAUUUGUCAUCCACUAGUCUCUUGGGGUACUCAAAACAUAUCACCAAAAAGUCCAUAGAGUUAUUUGUUCUUAUUUACUGAUAAAGUAUUCCAAGUUGAUGUACGAAUAAAGUGGCAAUUUCAUGUAUUAUCAAUAUAAUCCAUUUUUGGGAAUCUGAUAUUUUGUUUAUCCUCGAGCUCUGAGAGAUAUAUUUUGGUGCAGUGAAGGUUCAAAGCUGGCAUGCAUGAUGCAUAUAAUAACUGCUCUGGACCUAAUACUUACUACGCAUUUAAAUUAAUAUUUAUGGAUAAUAUGGUUAAUAAAUAAGGAACUUCUAUUUAUAUCACAAAAGGUCACUGGUCUUCUUCGUGUGACUUCACCACUUUCUCAUCUCCCACAAAAAUGGCUCUCUCACUUCUUUCAGUCUUUAUCUUUUUCCAUGUCUUUACCAAUGUAAGUUAUUCUUACUUUUCAUAACAAAAGGUGUUAUUAUGUUAAAGACUACAUAAUAGUAUACAAUUAUGUGCAUUACGUUUUCGCGUAUUGUAACUAACUAUGUAUUUUGAUUAAUCACCGAGCAGGUUGUUUUUGCUGCUUCAAAUGAGGAAUCCAACGCCUUAGUACGUUUUCUAAUUUCCAGUUUAAUUAUUUCUAUGCGUCUUUAACUAUAUACUCAGGCAUUUUUAUUGAUUAUUGUGUAUGAAGUUAAAUUUUGGUAUAUGUUUGUAUUAAAUUUAUAGGUUUCUUUACCAACGCCAACACUUCCAUCGCCAUCUCCGGCUACCAAACCGCCGUCGCCAGCUCUCAAACCGCCGACGCCGUCGUACAAGCCACCCACGCUGCCAACUACUCCUAUUAAACCACCCACCACAAAACCUCCGGUCAAACCUCCAACUAUUCCGGUUACACCAGUAAAACCUCCGGUUUCAACUCCUCCGAUCAAACUACCGCCGGUACAACCACCUACGUACAAACCCCCAACGCCAACAGUUAAACCACCGUCCGUCCAACCACCUACGUACAAACCCCCAACUCCAACGGUUAAACCACCCACUACAUCACCGGUUAAACCACCCACUACGCCACCAGUUCAAUCACCGCCGGUCCAACCACCUACGUACAAACCCCCAACGUCACCGGUUAAACCACCCACCACAACUCCACCGGUUAAACCCCCCACCACGACGCCACCGGUCCAACCACCUACGUACAAUCCCCCAACUACACCGGUUAAACCACCUACAGCGCCGCCUGUCAAACCUCCAACACCACCUCCCGUAAGAACUCGGAUAGGUAAUAAUA
Molecule: long non-coding RNA, 43343 nt
Filed under: Arabidopsis thaliana (thale cress)
Lineage: Eukaryota; Viridiplantae; Streptophyta; Magnoliopsida; Brassicales; Brassicaceae
Description: long non-coding RNA (ATHA_LNC000373)
Source: RNAcentral